Molecule: non-coding RNA, 77 nt
Filed under: Pedobacter nyackensis
Lineage: Bacteria; Pseudomonadati; Bacteroidota; Sphingobacteriia; Sphingobacteriales; Sphingobacteriaceae
Source: RNAcentral
AACCGCCGUAUACCGAACGGUACGUACGGUGGUGUGAGAGGACAGAUAGGGAAGUAAUCCCUAUCUUCCUACUCGAU